UACGUAGGGGGGCAAGCGUUUGUCCGGAAUCAUUGGGGCGUAAAGCGCGUGUAGGCGGGUUCGGUAAGUCGGCUGUGAAAGUCCAGGGCUCAACCCCUGGGGAUGCCGGUCGAUACUGCCCGGGCUAGAGUCCCGGAAGAGGGCGAGUGGGAAUUCCCUGGUGGUAGCGGUGAAUGCGCAGAUAUCAGGAGGAACACCGGUGGCGAGGCGGUCUCUGGCCGAUACUGACGCUGAGGAGCGAAGCGUGGAGCAACAGG
Molecule: ribosomal RNA, 257 nt
Filed under: uncultured bacterium
Lineage: Bacteria
Description: partial 16S ribosomal RNA
Rfam family: Bacterial small subunit ribosomal RNA
Source: RNAcentral